Molecule: unclassified non-coding RNA, 389 nt
Filed under: uncultured fungus
Lineage: Eukaryota; Fungi
Also listed under: 1 other name
Description: sequence contains ITS1
Rfam family: 5.8S ribosomal RNA (bases 1-105)
Source: RNAcentral
GAAAUGCGAUACGUAAUGUGAAUUGCAGAAUUCAGUGAAUCAUCGAAUCUUUGAACGCAUAUUGCGCUCUUUGGUAUUCCGAAGAGCAUGCUUGUUUGAGUAUCAGUAAACACCUCAACCUCUCUUUUUUGAUAAAAAAAAGGGAGGGUGGACUUGAGCUAUCCCAACGACCUUCACCGGUAGGCGGGCGGCUUGAAAUGCAGGUGCAGCUGGACUUUUAUCUGAGCUAAAAGCAUAUCUAUUUAGUCCUCGUCAAACAGGAUUAUUACUUUUGCUGCAGCUAACAUAAAGGAUAAUUGUCCUCUUUGCUGACUGAUGCAGGAUUUUACGACACUUUAUGUGUUGUUCAACUCGAUCUCAAAUCAAGUAAGACUACCCGCUGAACUUAA